CCUACGGGAGGCAGCAGUAGGGAAUCUUCCACAAUGGGCGAAAGCCUGAUGGAGCAACGCCGCGUGGGUGAAGAAGGUCUUCGGAUCGUAAAACCCUGUUGUUAGAGAAGAAAGUGCGUGAGAGUAACUGUUCACGUUUCGACGGUAUCUAACCAGAAAGCCACGGCUAACUACGUGCCAACAGCCGCGGUAAUACGUAGGUGGCAAGCGUUAUCCGGAUUUAUUGGGCGUAAAGGGAACGCAGGCGGUCUUUUAAGUCUGAUGUGAAAGCCUUCGGUUUAACCGGAGUAGUGCAUUGGAAACUGGGAGACGUGAGUGCAGAAGAGGAGAGUGGAACUCCAUGUGUAGCGGUGAAAUGCGUAGAUAUAUGGAAGAAAACCAGUGGCGAAAGCGGCUCUCUGGUCUGUAACUGACGCUGAGGUUCGAAAGCGUGGGUAGCAAACAGGAUUAGAUACCCGGGUAGUC
RNAcentral lists this ribosomal RNA (465 nucleotides) under uncultured bacterium. Its description in RNAcentral is "partial 16S ribosomal RNA". It matches the Rfam family "Bacterial small subunit ribosomal RNA", at positions 338 to 795 of the family's 1533-position model. The record is from RNAcentral.